This 348-nucleotide ribosomal RNA is filed under the name Triticum aestivum (bread wheat). RNAcentral's name for it is "partial small subunit ribosomal RNA". The record is from RNAcentral. Lineage: Eukaryota; Viridiplantae; Streptophyta; Magnoliopsida; Poales; Poaceae.
AUGCCCGUUGAUGACACAGGUGCCCCGGCGACGACACCGGAUAAAGGUGAAGCUACUGAUCCUUUCAUUAUAGACGAUAAUGGAAACUCUCCAUCUUCGGCAUCAACUGUACGUACAAAAGACUUUCCGUCUAUGUCCCGAACCCCGCAGAAUGCUGAUAUUUCUGGUGAGUCUAUGGAUGCUUUGUCACCAACAAAGUCCGAAGACACGUUUGAGAGUUUCCCGGCAGAGAGCAACAUAGGUAAUGGUGAAGGCAGUCAGGAAAAUGAAGGUAAGCGCAAAAGAAAAAAGUCAAAAUAUUGUCGAUCCCCCUACGACCUUCUCAUUACCCGCAAGAAACGUGUUUAA